AGUCGAGCGGACAGAUGGGAGCUUGCUCCCUGAUGUUAGCGGCGGACGGGUGAGUAACACGUGGGUAACCUGCCUGUAAGACUGGGAUAACUCCGGGAAACCGGGGCUAAUACCGGAUGCUUGUUUGAACCGCAUGGUUCAAACAUAAAAGGUGGCUUCGGCUACCACUUACAGAUGGACCCGCGGCGCAUUAGCUAGUUGGUGAGGUAAUGGCUCACCAAGGCAACGAUGCGUAGCCGACCUGAGAGGGUGAUCGGCCACACUGGGACUGAGACACGGCCCAGACUCCUACGGGAGGCAGCAGUAGGGAAUCUUCCGCAAUGGACGAAAGUCUGACGGAGCAACGCCGCGUGAGUGAUGAAGGUUUUCGGAUCGUAAAGCUCUGUUGUUAGGGAAGAACAAGUACCGUUCGAAUAGGGCGGUACCUUGACGGUACCUAACCAGAAAGCCACGGCUAACUACGUGCCAGCAGCCGCGGUAAUACGUAGGUGGCAAGCGUUGUCCGGAAUUAUUGGGCGUAAAGGGCUCGCAGGCGGUUCCUUAAGUCUGAUGUGAAAGCCCCCGGCUCAACCGGGGAGGGUCAUUGGAAACUGGGGAACUUGAGUGCAGAAGAGGAGAGUGGAAUUCCACGUGUAGCGGUGAAAUGCGUAGAGAUGUGGAGGAACACCAGUGGCGAAGGCGACUCUCUGGUCUGUAACUGACGCUGAGGAGCG
This 713-nucleotide ribosomal RNA is filed under the name Bacillus halotolerans. RNAcentral's name for it is "bacterial SSU rRNA". It matches the Rfam family "Bacterial small subunit ribosomal RNA", at positions 60 to 755 of the family's 1533-position model. Lineage: Bacteria; Bacillati; Bacillota; Bacilli; Caryophanales; Bacillaceae. The record is from RNAcentral.